Molecule: long non-coding RNA, 10846 nt
Filed under: Olea europaea subsp. europaea
Lineage: Eukaryota; Viridiplantae; Streptophyta; Magnoliopsida; Lamiales; Oleaceae
Source: RNAcentral
GAAACCGAGAAGGCAUUGAUAGAGAGCUAAACCAACAACAAGCGAGGAGAAAUCUCGUUUAGAAUCCGAAUCAACAAGAAGCAAGGAGAAAUCUCAUUUAGAAUCCGGCAUUGACUAGGGCUCUAUUUCAGGUUUCUUUCUAUCUUGGGGUUUUCUUUUUCAAUAUGCUUUUUGUAUUUUGAAUUUACUUUGAUUCCUGGAUUCUUGUUGUUGUUAUUUGUUUCUUGUUUUUGUGGAUUAGGGGUGUGUUUUUUUCUUCUUGAUUUUGUGAAUUAGGGGUUUUUGUUUAGGUGGGAAUAAUAAGCAAUGGUAAUCUGUCAAGCUAUUACCAUUAAAAUUCAACUUUAAAAGUUAUUUAAAAUUGAAAAUUGUCUAUCGGGAUUUUGACAAUGAACAUUUUCGAGUUUAGAUUCAACUCUAAAAGGCUUAAAAGAAAUCAUAUUAUGAAGAUCUGCAAAGUCCCUAAAGCAUUCUCAAUAAUAAGAAAAGCAUAAGUACUCGUAAACUAAACUUGGCUUAUAAUUAUUAUUACCCACACUAGGAAAUAGUUUUGAAAUCAUGACACUAAAAAUGUCAAGAAGGAGCCAUAAAGAGGGGAAACAUGUAGAAUAAUAUGUUUUCUUCCUUGUGCAAUCAGUUGAGAGUUCAAGGAAUUCAAACACAAAUGUACUGAACAUCUAUUAUAUAGAGGAGCCAUGGUAGAAGUGUAAAGAUACAGAGUAAAUGAUGCAGGAAAAUUUUUAAUUUUUAGGAAAAUGAGAUAAUGUUCAUAGGAUGUUUAUACAGAGCUUUUAGUAUUCUGUCCUUAAUAUGUUUUCCUAGUUAAUUAGAAAUUAUUAAUAAACAUUUGCUUUCCUAUACAUUUUCAGAUUUUAUGUUUAAAUUUGCCUCAGCAUUUUCUACUAGGGUUCAGAUUUUGAGUUCUAUACCGAUAAAGAUUUCCAAACAUUAGAAAUAGGAAUAUAUAACGUGUUAUUUUCUCAAUGGGAUUUUUCUUUUUCUUUGUAACUACACAUUAUGGGUUUUUUCUUACAUGUUGAUUUCUGAAUCCUUUCAUUCGAAGAAGUUUGGAAAUUUUUAAAUUACACUCAUUUGUUAGGUUCUACUGCUCUAUCUCUAUAAGAAAAUUUGAAUCUGGAUAUGCCAAAAGAAAGAGGAAUAAAAAGGUUGAGAGAGAUUUUGUUUGGCUAAUCUAUAUUUUAAAUUGCAAAAAUCUUCAUUUUAAUAUAAAAAUAUAAUUUAUUUAAAUGUUUUCACACAUUUAAAAAAAUUAUGUUUGAGGACCUCAUGUUAAUUAGUCGCCUAGGGUCACUAAAUUCUCGGGGCCAGCCCUGAUUCUAAACGUUAAACUUGUAGAUUAUAAUCUACCUACAAAUAUUGUUUUCUAUGAUGCACUAGUUAAUAUUGUAAAUGUUAUAACACAAUGAUGUGGACAUCAUCCUAUAUUUUUAUGUUUUGUUAUUGGGCUCGUAAUAUUGGGUUAGCCCAAACCCAUUACCUUUCUUGGUUUGUUGAUUUCUCCAUUCAUAUGGCUUGUAUUGAACAUGAAAAAUUAGUUGAUAAAUAUGAAUUAUUGAAAUUGGUUUUGGCUUGCAGCCAACGUAUCUCCAUUCCAUGUCUUCCCAUUUGAUCUCUUCUUUUCUAGGUUCCUCCCCCUUUAUCUCCCGUUCUUCCUUCCCCCUCAUUCUUGUUGUCUUCUUCUUCUUCUUCUCUGCCCUGCUUCUUCUUCUCGUUGUGUUUUUCUCCUCUGCUGGUUAUCUUCUCCUCUGCUACUACCUAUAAGUUCUUUGUUGGAAUACCAUUUUUCAACUCAAUCUCCUUCAAAUUUGGUAUCAAAACUAAACCUGGAUUCAAUAAUAAAAACCAUAGUCCAACGACUCCUAGCGACAUCUUCAUCAAAUUCCAAAAUUGCUGCUGUGAAGUUCAUGAUACCUAAAAUUUACCUCCAGCAAUUUGUCAUUCUCCACAACUUGAAAUCGUCACUGCAACCCCCUACAAUCUUCACCAUGCCAACAGUUAACAGAUCCUUCAUUGACAGUCCAGUAAAUUCAAUACUUCAUCUAUUACAAUAGACAUAUAUUCAGCCCAUCAUCUAGAUCCCUACAACUUUCCAACACCCCAAAUUUCCUCAAACCUAACCCCACUGCAUCCCACAUUUUCAUCCAAACUCCCCAUCAUCGAAAACAUAAAACGAAGUCUACGAAUUAACAAAAAAUAAAAUAAAAAAUACCACAAACAAUAACUACCUCACGCAUGAUCUCAUGGUAAACUGCCUCAACGCCCAUUCACAAAAAUCGCUACCCACAAUUAAUAGAUCCAUACAACCAUACAACUAGUCACCACUACCACAUAAUCCUCCCACCACCAUCGUAUAAUCCUCCCAAACCCAGUCACCAUCUUCAUUAGCCCACAAAUUACGACUGAACCACCCAUGUACAAAAUAGUUAAUUACCAAAAACUCCCCACCGUCUAUCGAUUUUACAGAACCACCAUCGCCCACGCCCUGCAAUUCACGUCACUGCUACCACUCAAUACCAGCAAGCAAAUCACACCACAAUUUGUUCUAAAUCCAAAAACAGCCAACUCCGCCGCCAUCCAUAAAAUCCAGCUAACGCCUCCUCUCGCCAAGAACUAUCUCGCGUUGACAACCUAUAGUCGGUACCCACUAACAAAAUCUGUUUGUUUGUUAAGAGCUCCUCCACUCACAUGCAGGGCCUUCGUUCAUCCAAUCGAUAAACCCUUUUGGAUGUUAGAAAUUGGUUGAAAAAUCAAAAGAAAAUUAAGUAUAAAAGGUGUGACUUCGUCUCAACCUCGGUCAAAUAUUCUGAUUCGAUCUAAUGAUCAAAUUAUAAAAGUAAAUAGAUCAACUUAUUCUACUCGUUGAGCAGAUCAUCGUAGUAUAUUUGGAGUCUCAAAACCAAUUUCGGAUGUACGAAAAAAUUGCGGUCCAAAGUUGGAAGGAAAAAAUGGAGGAAAUGGUUGUCGCCCGAUAUUCGCUCGAGCGACAGCGUCAUCGUCUCUCGAUUAUCGCUCGAGCGAAAGGCGAGCAAAAAGUUCACUGUUUUUGUCGCUCAAGCGAGUGCAUAGCGAAAUGAACUAGUGUCUCUGUUCGUAAAGUUGCAUGGUUUGGUUUGCGAGAUUUCACCACACCGCUUCAUCCUCUAUAAAUAGAGGCCUUUGGAUGUCCAUUUGGGAUACACCAAUUGCAUAAAGCACCCAUUCUUCUCUUGCAAUUCUCUUCUUUCUCCUUUAUUGUAUUGUUUGCAUACUUCCUUUUUAGAUGGGAAGUUCUGUUGAAAAUUCGUUGAUUUCUUGUGGUUUGAAGUGCUAGCAACACAAGUUGUGAAUACAUUUUAUCUUGGAAGACAAGUACUGUUCACCAUGAGCACCGUUGCGGGGCAAUUUGUCUUAAGGAAAGAGUAAACCACUCGUCUUGGAUUGAUUCUCAUUUUCUACUCCUUCUUUUGGUUAUAUUUUACAUUUUAAUAUACUGAAACUCUAUCAAAUUUUUCGUUCAUAUUAGAUUGUGCUUUGAUUACGUUCCUGUGGGUUAAAACUUGUUAAACAAUUUAUCAAAAACCAACCCAAACAUCGCCCGUUUCUAUAUGUUGCCCCAACAAACUUAAGGCAAAUUGUGUUUCUUUGUGGUUGGUUGUAGACAAACCUUACUCUGUUUGAAUAGUAUUUUGUGUACUAUUCCUCCACCAACAUCAAUUUUACUUUGUUGAACUUUUGUUUGUGUAAUAAAAAUGAAUUCCGUUGAGGCUAAUACAAGUCAAAUCGGAAGGGAAAUUUUGGUCUUGCCUAGAGCAAAUAAUGUGGCUCCGAUGGUGAUACCAAUACAAACUACUUCAAUCCCGCAUGGUGAAAAAUAGAAAAAAUUUGGAGGUGUGGAUUUUAAAAGAUUGCAACAAAAGAUGUUGUUCUAUCUCACUACCCUCAAUUUAGCAAAAUUCCUAAAGAAAAUCGCGCCAACCAUACAAUGGGGGAAAAUAAUAUUGCAUUGAUUAUUGCAUUGGAUACAUGGAAGCACUCGGCCUUUCUGUACAAAAAUUACAUACUGAACGGGUUGGACAAUACAUUAUAUGGAGUGUAUAGUUCAAAAGACUCGGUCAAGGAUCUAUAAGAAUCUUUGCAAAAUAAAUAUAAGAUUGAGGAUGCCGAAACUAAAAAGUUCAUCGUUGACAAGUUUUUGGACUACAAGAUGGUAGAUAUCAGAACGGUGAUAAGUCAAGUACAAGAAAUUCAAGUUCUAUUGCACGAUAUACAUGCCGAAAAGAUGGAACUAAGAGAAUCAUUUCAAGUGGCUGCCAUCAUUGAGAAACUCCCUCUUUUGUGGAGAGAUUUCAAAAAUUAUUUCAAGCACAAACGUAAGGAAAUGAAUUUAGAAGAAUUGAUCGUCUGCUUGAGAAUUGAAAAAGACAAAAGGAAAAAUGAAAGGAAACCUCUUGACCAACUUGGAGCAAACUUUGUUGAAACAAAACAACGGGUUGUCAACAAUAAACGAAAAAAUCUCUGGCAAUGUACCACGAAGAGAUAAUUCUAAGAAAGCAAAGAAGUUCAAAGAGAACGUAAAUGUUGAAAGCCAAAGAAGAAUGCUCAAACCCACAUGGUUACAAAUGACACUCUAUCCGACCGGCUGCAAGAAAUGAGUUUAUCUGCAGUAGUGUCCGAAUGCAAUAUGAUUGAAAAUACUAGAGAAUGGUAGAUUGACACCGGCGCUUCUCGCCAUGUGUGUGCGGACAAGGCAAUGUUCUCCAACUAUCAAGAAUUGAAUGGGGAACAACUAUACAUGGGGAAUUCUGCAAGUUCCAAAGUUGAAGGACAAGGCAAAGUCACCUUGAAGAUGACAUCCGAAAAAAAACUCGUUCUCAGCAAUGUCCUACAUGUGUUGGAUAUACAAAAGAAUUUAGUGUUCAGGUCUCUACUAGCAAGAAUGAUUUUAAACUUUUAUUUAUAUCAAAUAAAUUUGUGUUGUCUAAGAAUAAGAUGUAUGUAGAAAAAUGAUACAUGUGUGAUGGAAUGUUCAAGUUUAACGUUCUUACAAUUGUACCUUAGCAAGUCGUUAUGAAUAAAACUAUAAAUUCAGUUUACUUGCUUGAACCUUCAUAUUUCUGGCAUAGUCGAUUAGGACAUAUGAAUUACAAAUCGUUGCGCAAACUAAUGAAUCAAAGUUUAAUUCUGGCGCAUAAAAUUGAUCAUAAUCAUAAAUGUGAGAUAUGUAUUGAAGCAAAAUUGACUAAAACACCGCUUCAUUCAAUACAAAGGAACAUAACUCUUCUUAAAUUGAUCCAGAGCGAUAUAUGCAAUCUAAAAUUUGUACAAACGUAAGGUGAUAAGAAAUACUAUGUAACAUUUAUUGAUGAUUAUAUAAAGUUUUGUUAUGUCUUUCUUUUGAGAAGUAAAGACGAAGCUCUAAAUAUAUUCAAAACCUAUAAGGUUGAAGUUGAAACACAACUUGAAAAACGAACAAAGAAUGUUCGUAGUAAUAGAGGAGGUGAAUAAGAGGAACCAUUUGAAGACUUUUGUUCCGAACAUGGAAUUGUUCAUCAAACAACAUCACUUUACUCUCAUCAAUCGAAUGGUGUUGCUGAACACAAAAAUCGAACACUUAAAGAAAUGAUGAAUGUCAUGUUAAUAAAUUCGAGUUUACCACAGAACAUGUGAGGGGAGGCUAUUUUAACGGCAAAUAGUUUUCUUAAUAAAAUACCCCUUAAGAAAAUGGAAGAGACCCCGUAUGAAUUAUGGAAAGGUCAUCCUCCAUCUUACCAAUACUUGAAAGUGUGGGGGUGUUUGAUUAAAGUUGAGAUACUUAAGCCUAAACAAAUGAAAAUUGGUCCAAAAAUGAUAGAUUGCAUAUUUAUUGGAUACGUCAAUAAUAGUAGUGUAUAUCAAUUCUUGUACACAAAUUUGAAAUACAAGACGUACAUGAGGGAACCAUAAUCGAAUUAAGGAAUGCAACUUUCUUUGAAAAUAUCUUUCCUUGCAAAGAUAAGGAAAAUACGAGUUCUAAUAACAGAACGUAUGAAACUACAAACGGAGCUUCAAAUAAGGAAGAAUCAAGGCGUAGUAAAAGGCUCGGACUUCCAAGACAUUUGGCCUAGAUUUUCUAACCUAUAUGGCAGAAAAUGAUCCAAAGACUUUCGAUGAAGCAAUGUCUACACCGAAAUCACCGCAUUGGAAAGAAGCUAUUCAUAGUGAGAUAAGUUCUAUAAUGCAAAAUCAUACGUGGGAGUUAAUUGAUUUACCUCCGGGUAACAAGCCUUUAGAAUGCAAAUAGAUAUUCAAAAAGAAAUUGAAACUUGACGAAUUCAUUGAUAAAUAUAAGGCUAGAUUGAUUGCUAAAUGAUACAGGCAAAAAGAAGGACUUAACUUCUUUGAUACCUACUCACCCAUAACUAGAAUCACGUCGAUAAGAUUGUUAAUUGCAAUUGUGGCAAUACACAAUCUCGAGAUUCAUCAAAUGGAUAUAAAAACGGUAUUCUUAAAUGGUGAGUUAGAAGAAAAUGUUUACAUGGAGCAACCUGAAGGGUUCGUUUCUCUUAACCAAAAACAUAAAGUGUGUAAGCUCCUAAACAGUAGCACCAAAAGUUUGACAAAACGAUGUUGUCAAAUUGAUUCAAAAUCAACAAAUGUGUAUAUAUUAAACAUACAUCGAAUGCCUAUAUAAUUAUAUGUCUAUAUGUGGACGGCAUGUUGAUAAUGAUCAAUUGUCACGAAAUAUUGCUUAAUACCAAGAAGAUGUUAAAAAAGCAUUUUGAUAUAAAAGAUACGUGUAUGGCAGAUAUAAUCCUAGGGAUUAAAAUUUCUAGAACGCAGGAUGAAAUUGUAUUUUUCCAAUCUCACUACAUAAAAAAUGUACUUAAGAGAUUUGAAAUGUUUGAGGAAAGUCCUGCGAGAACUCUUCUUGACCCCAGUCUGCACUUAGUUAAGAAUACGGGAGAAAGUGUAUCACAACUAAGGUAUUCACAAAUUAUUGACAAUUUUAUGUAUAUUACAAACUGCACUCGACCAGAUAUUGCUUUUGCGGUGGAUAAAUUUAGUAGAUUUACAAUUAAUCCAAGCCAUGACAUUGGAAGGCUUUGACGAGGGUUCUAAGCCUAUGGAUUACAUUUCACAAAAUAUCUUACGGUACUAGAAGGAUAUUGUGAUGCGAAUUGAAUAUCCGAUAUGAAGGAUUCCAAGUCUACUAGUGGUUACGUAUUCACUAUUGGUGGAGCUGCUAUAUCAUGAAAAUUAACAAGGGAAACGUCAUAACUCGAUCAACGAUGAAAUCUGAGUUUAUUGCUUAGGACAAAGUCGGAGAAGAAGCAGAAUGGUUUCAAAAUUUCUUAGAAGAUAUUCCAUGUUGGCCCAAGCUGGUACCUGUGAUAAGUAUCCAUUGUGAUAGUCAAUCGACAAUUGGAAGGGCUCGAAGCAGUAUGUAUAAUGGUAAGUCUAGACAUAUUCAUCGUAGACACAAUACUAUUGAGCAACUGAUUUCAAAUGACGUUAUCUUCAUAGACUAUGUGAAAUCAAAUGAAAAUAUUGCGGAUCCACUUACGAAAAGUUUGUCUAGAGAUCAAGUAUGUUGUCUAUCAAGAGGAAUGUGAUUAAAGCCUACCACGUAAGAUUUUUGCAAUGGCAACCCUACCUUGUGAAUUGAAGAUCCCAAGACCUUGGUUUAAAGUGACAACUAAGUUUUGAAAAUUUCAUGAAACGCUUAGGAAAUUAAAAUUUCUAACUCAUUCCUAUAAUACUAAAGUGCUUUCAACAAGUGGAUAGAGGUUAAGAUUAUCUUUUAAUGAUUCCUAUAUCUUAAUUAAGUCAAGCGGAAUGGGGCAUAAUACUUUUAAUAGGAGUUCACCUAUGUAAGUGUAAAGUGUGGCCACUUCAAUGAGAAUUUUUUAAGGCUUGAAUUCUCUAAACACUUACGAAACCAAGAAGGGUUCAGGGCCAAAAUGAACCAAGUCAUGAGAACUAAGUAUAGAAUAUGGAAGAUUUAUGUGUGAGUACUGUUCUCUUGGCUUACACCAAAGGCCGAGUAGUUCAAAACUUAUGGUUCAUCAAUUAGUCGAGUAAGUCCGAUAGUAUUUCAUUAAGGGAUGUUCAAGGCCAGAAGCUACCAUCCUUGGAACAGUAUUUUUCCACUCCCUUUCUACAUUGCAUCAUAUCAUCGCAUUUGCAUAUGCGUAUCUGAAUUUUCAUUCAUGUGGGGGAUUAUUAGAAAUUGGUUGAAAAAUCAAAAGAAAAUUAAGUAUAAAAAGUGUAACUUCGUGUCAACCUCGGCUAAAUAUUCAGAUUCGAUCUGAUGGUCAAAUUACAAAAGUAAAUAGAUCAACUUAUUCUACUCGUUGAAUAGAUUAUCAUAGUAUAUUUGGAGUCUCAAAACCAAUUUUGGAUGAAUGGAAAAUUGCAGUCCAAAGUUGGAAAGAAAAAAUGGAAAUGUUCAGAUUCGAUCUGAUGGUCAAAUUAACAAGAAAAUGGCAUGUCGCUCUAUUAUCACUCUCGAGUGACAGUCUCGCUCGCUUGAGCAAAAGACAAGCGAAAAGCUCACUACUUUUGUCGCUCGAGCGAGAGCUUAGCAAAAAGCUAGCGAAAUGAACUAGUGUAUCCAUUCGUAAAGUUGCAUAGUUUGGCUUGCGAGAUUUCACCACACCACUUCAUCCUCUAUAAAUAGAGGCCUUUGGACGCCCAUUUGGGACACAACAAUUGCAUAAAGCACUCAUUCUUCUCUUGCAAUUCUCUUCUUUCUCCUACAUUGCAUUGUUUGCAUACUUCCUUUGUAGAGAGGAAAUUAUGUCGAAAGGUCGUCGAUUUCUUGUUGUUUGAAGUGCUGCUACCACAAGUUGUGAAUCCAUUAUAUCCUAGGAGACAAGUUCCAUUCACCGUGAGUACCGUAGCGAGGCAAUUUGUCUUAAGAAAAGAGUAAACCACUCACCUUGGAUUGAUUCUCAUUUUCUACUCCUUCUUUUGUUUAUAUUUUGCAUUUUAAUAUACUGAAACUCUGCCCAAUUUUCCGUUCAUAUUAGAUUAUGUUUUGAUCAUGCUCCUGUGGAUUUAAACUUGUAAAACAGUUUAUCAAAAACCAACCUAAACAUCGCUCGUUUCUAUACGCCGUCCCCAACAUUAGAUUCUCGACUUUUGACUUCUCCAUCUCAACUUUUGCAUUUGUUUAGCCUCUAUUCUAUUGGCAAGGAUUGGGGACAUACACUCGACCUAAAUACAGCUAUAAACAAAUCUAAUUUACACAGGCUCAAUACCUAUAAUCCAAAAUUCAUGUGCCCACUACCUAAAAUUCAUGUGUCCCUUUAAAUUUGAGUUUAUUUUUUACAGCCCUUUUGUAAUUUUAAGAUGGUUCUAUUUGUUUUGUUUAUAUAUAGUUUAAUUUGAUUUUGAUAAAAAAAAAAAAAAAAAAAAAGUGAAAAAAAAAAAACAGAAAAAGAAAAAUUUAAAAAAAAAAAAAAAAGGAGAAAUUUCUAACAUUAUUAGUAGGUGAUCUUUUAUUUUUGUUGAUUGAUAGAUUUGCCAAAAUAGCCAUGCCAAUAAAAAUUGUGAUUGGAGGAUUGCAUCGACUGAUUGACUUUUUGAGACUCAUUGGGUAACAAAUUCUUUGUAUUGAAAGUUUUACUUUUUAUUUAAGUGUGUUGACUUGUCAAUUUUAAAAAAAAAUGUUAUGUAAUAAUAUUAAACAUUAGGUGUUCACUUGUUAACAAGUACAAGAAAACUUAUUCAAUUUUCAUUGCCUUCUAAUGAACUCAUAGUAUUACUUUAAAACACUGAAUAUUUGCUUUCACAAGGACCAAUUGCCCACUGUUUUCAUGCUCACAUCACUUAGUGUAGCAUUGGUCUCAAAUAAUCUAUUAAGACAUCCUGAUUCCACUAUACAAGUAGCAGUUGCUUUUUGUCUUAGCGAACUAUUUCGCAAUAAGGUACCCAGUCCCCCAUUUUGUGAGGAAUUAAUGCAAGAUGUCUUUUUUUGUAAUUAUAUCAUUAUUUGCAAUAUCUCGUGGGCACAUCCAUCAAUUUGUAUGCUACAGUAGUCAGGAUACUAGAUAUUAUAGCUAAUGCGAAGUAUUUCUUAUCAUGUUGGACCUAGAUUGUGAGCAAAUGAUAGUUGACAUGUUCCGAGACUUUCUAUGGACUUACUUACGACGUGCAAUAUGAGCUACGGUAUUCUUAUGAUAACUACUAUACUUUAUUGUGCAUCUCUUUUAUCCGAUUUUCCAAAAAUGUGAAGAAAAUGUUUGUUGAUCACUCGUAUAAAUAUUUUCUAUUUAACUGGUCAUCUCACUUAAAUAAAAGUUAUAUUUUCAAUCUAGAAGAAUUAUUUCCUAAUCAGAGCCCAUUCGAGCCUUCAAUGUUUCAAUCUUUUGUCUCUACAGGCCAGUUUUCGGUGCUAACUUCUUAUCCAUUUCAUUAUGCACAAUCACAUGAAGAUUUUUUCGAUGAGUUGCAUGAGCAUUUACUUUUUGGAGAUCAGUAUCGAUAUUCGAUUAAAAAGAGAGAUCAUCCUCCUUAGGUGAAUCAUAUCCUUGAGGAGAAGCUGCAGUUUCAUUGUUAUCAAUUGUUGAAUUUCAAUAAUUGAUUCUUCAAAGAGAUCGCCCCCCGUGGUAUGAGUUCAAACGCUUAGCAAAGAAUAGAGAUAUGAUAUGGAACCUUUUUGGUAUCAGGUCGACUGCAGCCAUUUGUGUUUUGUCCACUCCACAUAGUCAAAUUUUUCUCCCACCCCGGAGACUCGAUACAUCCUUUAUUUUUAUGUUUUGUUAUUGGGCUUGUAAUAUUGGAUUAGCCCGAGACCGUUUACUUUAUAGGUUUGUUAAUUUCUCUAUUUAUAUGGCUUGUAUGGAACAUGGAAAAAUAGUUG